RNAcentral lists this microRNA (22 nucleotides) under Salmo salar (Atlantic salmon). Its description in RNAcentral is "ssa-miR-730a-2-3p". Its record names the gene ssa-miR-730a-2-3p. Lineage: Eukaryota; Metazoa; Chordata; Actinopteri; Salmoniformes; Salmonidae. The record is from miRBase by way of RNAcentral.
CACAGUGCCUGCAAUGUGGACG